UGGGGAAUUUUGGACAAUGGGCGAAAGCCUGAUCCAGCAAUGCCGCGUGUGUGAAGAAGGCCUUCGGGUUGUAAAGCACUUUUGUCCGGAAAGAAAUCCUUGGCUCUAAUACAGUCGGGGGAUGACGGUACCGGAAGAAUAAGCACCGGCUAACUACGUGCCAGCAGCCGCGGUAAUACGUAGGGUGCAAGCGUUAAUCGGAAUUACUGGGCGUAAAGCGUGCGCAGGCGGUUUGCUAAGACCGAUGUGAAAUCCCCGGGCUCAACCUGGGAACUGCAUUGGUGACUGGCAGGCUAGAGUAUGGCAGAGGGGGGUAGAAUUCCACGUGUAGCAGUGAAAUGCGUAGAGAUGUGGAGGAAUACCGAUGGCGAAGGCAGCCCCCUGGCCAAUACUGACGCUCAUGCACGAAAGCGUGGGGAGCAAACAGGAUUAGAUACCCUGGUAGUCCACGCCCUAAACGAUGUCAACUAGUUGUUGGGGAUUCAUUUCCUUAGUAACGUAGCUAACGCGUGAAGUUGACCGCCUGGGGAGUACGGUCGCAAGAUUAAAACUCAAAGGAAUUGACGGGUCAUAGCUGUUUCCU
This 583-nucleotide ribosomal RNA is filed under the name uncultured bacterium. RNAcentral describes it as "partial 16S ribosomal RNA". It matches the Rfam family "Bacterial small subunit ribosomal RNA", at positions 355 to 932 of the family's 1533-position model. The record is from RNAcentral.